This 44-nucleotide non-coding RNA is filed under the name Xyrichtys novacula (pearly razorfish). It matches the Rfam family "Histone 3' UTR stem-loop". From Rfam's summary of the family: The mRNAs of metazoan histone genes lack a poly-A tail. Lineage: Eukaryota; Metazoa; Chordata; Actinopteri; Labriformes; Labridae. The record is from RNAcentral.
ACAACGGCUCUUUUAAGAGCCACUUACUUAAUAAAACUUUGCAU